UGGGUGACCUACCCCACAGUGAGGGAUACCGGCGAGAAAUCGCCGACAAGCCCGCAUACGCUCUGGUUUGCGAAAGCAAGCGAGAGGAAAGCCCGCAAGGGCGCUCUGGGAUGGGCCUGUGGCCGAUUAGCUAGCUGGUGGGGUAAGAGCUCACCAGGGCGACGAUCGGUAGCUGGUCCGAGAGGACGAUCAGCCACACUGGGAUUGAGAACGGCCCAG
Molecule: ribosomal RNA, 219 nt
Filed under: uncultured bacterium
Lineage: Bacteria
Description: partial 16S ribosomal RNA
Rfam family: Bacterial small subunit ribosomal RNA
Source: RNAcentral